This is a long non-coding RNA of Zingiber officinale, 1208 nucleotides long. RefSeq lists it as uncharacterized. Lineage: Eukaryota; Viridiplantae; Streptophyta; Magnoliopsida; Zingiberales; Zingiberaceae. The record is from RefSeq and is a predicted model, not a curated record. The transcript has 3 exons.
CGUGAUUUCCACGUGCACAGACCAGGGCAGAAAACGCAGAAACGCAGCGACGACACCCUAACCUCACGUCUCGCGACCCGACACCUCCUCCAGCAUCCUGAGAGCGGAGCAUCGCGUCCUCUCGCGACCCUCUUGUGACCUCCAUGAGCAGAACCCAGCGAGCCGCCGGCGACGACCCUCUUCUCCUACUCCUCUGAGCCCUCGCCCUCUCUCAAACUCCUCAACCUCAGCCGCCGUUAGACCUCCCUGAGCAGAACCCAGCGAGCCGCCGGCGACGACCCUCUUCUCUUACUCCUUAGAAUUCAGCGCGGAUCCUCUGGUCCCUCCCUACCCUGGUCCCUCCUUGGACCACAAAACACAUAUAAAAAGUUGCUUCACGUGAUUUCCACGUGCACAGACCAGGGCAGAAAAUUCAAAAACGCAGCGACGGCGCCCUAACCUCACGUCUCGCGACCUGACACCUCCUCCGGCAUCCUGAGAGCGGAGCGUCGCGUCCUCUCGCGACCCUCCUGUGACCUCCCUGAGCAGAACCCAAUGAGCCGCCGCCGACGACCCUCUUCUCCUACUCCUCAGAGCCCGAGCCCUCUCUCAAACUCCUCAACCUCUGCCGGCCUUAGGGCUUAUUUGCGGUAAAACGAAAGAAAAAUCAUGGCAGCUGGCUCAUCAUCAGCAUCAUCUUUCACUCGACGAAGCAUGAACGACGAGCAAUGUGAAGCUCCCCACAUAUUAUGUUAUUGUGGGUUACGAGCUAUUCUCCAGACAUCAUGGACGGAAUCCAACCCAGGAUGGCGAUUUUUUUCAUGUCCAAAUUUUAGAAAAAGGGGAUGUGGCUUUUUCUUAUAGCAUGGCCCAGAACUGUCAGAGAGAAGGAAGACAAUUAAUUAAUGAGUUAAAGAGGAAUAACAAAAAAUUAAAGUUGCAGAUUAGUGAAUUGGAGAAAAGUAUUAGCUACAAGGGUGCUGUUGAAUACAAUGAUGUUCUGGAUGAUGGGAACAACAAUCAUGUAAUUAUACAGUUCAAUGACGAAAUACAUUCAUUGAAUAGGAAAUUUAGAGUUGCUAUCGUUGUAGUUGUAUGUACCUGGAUUGUGAUGAUGGGGAUGUGAUUGAUGUAACUUAUUUUGUGAUGUAACUUGACAUUUUAAUGUAACUCUAAAUGAUGUAACUUGUUUUGUUAUACAAAAUAAACUAGUUCUGUUAUGCUUUUUA